GCAAUCACAAUCACCAGAAAAAAAAGGAAAGGAAGAUGCUAUUUGUUGUUGUUAUUUUCUAAUAGAUAUAUAUGCAUCUGUAUAGUUGGAUUCGAUUCCUUCUGGGCUUAGAAGAUUUAGAAAAGUGAUAUUGGAUUGAUUCUUAUUAUGACAACUUAACUCAUUUAUUCGCAGAAAUUCCAAUACAAGGCAUCAUCGUGUCCUAAUGAUGCUGAGGAUGAGGAAGACGAUGAGGAGAA
RNAcentral lists this non-coding RNA (239 nucleotides) under Fragilariopsis kerguelensis. Lineage: Eukaryota; Bacillariophyta; Bacillariophyceae; Bacillariales; Bacillariaceae. The record is from RNAcentral.